This 1135-nucleotide ribosomal RNA is filed under the name Aeromonas veronii. Its description in RNAcentral is "bacterial SSU rRNA". It matches the Rfam family "Bacterial small subunit ribosomal RNA", at positions 349 to 1460 of the family's 1533-position model. The record is from RNAcentral. Lineage: Bacteria; Pseudomonadati; Pseudomonadota; Gammaproteobacteria; Aeromonadales; Aeromonadaceae.
CAGCAGUGUGAAUAUUGCACAUGGGGGAAACCCUGAUGCAGCCCUGCCGCGUGUGUGAAGAAGGCUUCGUGUAAGCACUUUCAGCGAGGGGAAAGGUUGAUGCUUAAUACGCUUGGCUGUGACGUUACUCGCAGAAGAAGCACGGCUAAAUCCGUGCCAGCAGCCGCGGUAAUACGGACGGUGCCAGCGUUUAUAGAAUUACUGGGCGUACAGCGCACGCGGGCGGUCGGAUAAUUAGAUGUGAAGCCCCGGGCUCAACCUGGGAAUUGCAUUUAAAUGUCCAGCUAGAGUCUUGUAGAGGGGUGUAGAAUUCCAGGUGUAGCGUGAAAUCGUAGAGAUCUGGGGGAACCCGGGUGGCGAAGGCGGCCCCCCUGGACAAAGACUGACGCUCAGGUGCGAGAGCGUGGGGAGCAAACAGGAUUAGAUACCCUGGUUGCCACGCCGUAAACGAUGUCGAUUUGGAGGCUGUGUCCUUGAGACGUGGCUUCCGGAGCUAACGCGUUAAAUCGACCGCCUGGGGAGUACGGCCGCAAGGUUAAAAUUCAAUUGAAUUGACGGGGGCCCGCACAAGCGGUGGAGCCCGUGGUUUAAUUCGAUGCAACGCGAAGAACCUUACCUGGCCUUGACAUGUCUGGAAUCCUGCAGAGAUGCGGGAGUGCCUUCGGGAAUCAGAACACAGGUGCUGCAUGGCAUCGUCAGUUCGUGUCGUGAGAUGUUGGGUUAAGUCCCGCAACGCAGCGCACACCCCUGUCCUUUGUUGCCAGCAUGUAAUGGUGGGAACUCCAAGGGAGCCUGCCGGUGGAGUAGAACCGGAGUGUAAGGUGGGGAUGACGUCAAGUCAUCAUGGCCUCUUACGGCCAGGGCUACACAUCGUGCUACAAUGGCGAGUACAUGAGGGCUGCAAGCAAGCGAAUCCCACGUGAGCGAUAUCCCAAAAAGCGCGUCGUAGUCCGGAUCGGAGUCUGCAACUCGACUCCGUGAAGUCGGAAUGCGCUAUUAGCAGUCGUUUCAAAUCAGUAAUCCCCGUUGACUGGUGCAAUACGUUCCCGGGCCUUGUACACACCGCCCGUCACACCAUGGGAGUGGCCGGCACCAGAAGUAGCAUAGCUUAACCUUCCGGAGGGCGCUCGACUUG